GUGGGGAAUAUUGGGCAAUGGGCGAAAGCCUGUCCCAGCAACGCCGCGUGAAGGAAGAAGGUUUUCGGAUCGUAAACUUCUAUCCUUGGUGAAGAUAAUGACGGUAGCCGAGAAGGAAGCCCCGGCUAACUACGUGCCAGCAGCCGCGGUAAUACGUAGGGGGCAAGCGUUGUCCGGAAUGAUUGGGCGUAAAGGGCGCGUAGGCGGCCUGGUAAGUCUGGAGUGAAAGUCCUGCUUUUAAGGUGGGAAUUGCUUUGGAUACUGUCGGGCUUGAGUGCAGGAGAGGUAAGUGGAAUUCCCGGUGUAGCGGUGAAAUGCGUAGAGAUCGGGAGGAACACCAGUGGCGAAGGCGACUUACUGGACUGUAACUGACGCUGAGGCGCGAAAGUGUGGGGAGCAAACAGGAUUAGAAACCCCGGUAGUCC
Molecule: ribosomal RNA, 425 nt
Filed under: uncultured bacterium
Lineage: Bacteria
Description: partial 16S ribosomal RNA
Rfam family: Bacterial small subunit ribosomal RNA
Source: RNAcentral